GACGAACGCUGGCGGCGUGCUUAACACAUGCAAGUCGAACGGAAAGGCCCUGCUUUUGUGGGGUGCUCGAGUGGCGAACGGGUGAGUAACACGUGAGUAACCUGCCCUUGACUUUGGGAUAACUUCAGGAAACUGGGGCUAAUACCGGAUAGGAGCUCCUGCUGCAUGGUGGGGGUUGGAAAGUUUCGGCGGUUGGGGAUGGACUCGCGGCUUAUCAGCUUGUUGGUGGGGUAGUGGCUUACCAAGGCUUUGACGGGUAGCCGGCCUGAGAGGGGUGCCGGCGACAAUGGGACUGAGAGACGGCGCAGACUCGUAUGGGAGGCAGCAGUGGGGAGUAUUGCGCAAUAGGGGGAAGCGUGAGGCGGCAACGCCGCGUGCGGGAUGACGGCCUUCGGGGGGUAAACCGCUGUCGCCUGUGACGAGGCGUGAGUGACGGUAAUGGGUAAAGAAGCACCGGCUAACUACGUG
RNAcentral lists this ribosomal RNA (468 nucleotides) under uncultured bacterium. RNAcentral's name for it is "partial 16S ribosomal RNA". It matches the Rfam family "Bacterial small subunit ribosomal RNA", at positions 28 to 507 of the family's 1533-position model. The record is from RNAcentral.